RNAcentral lists this ribosomal RNA (1194 nucleotides) under Gilliamella apicola. RNAcentral describes it as "bacterial LSU rRNA". It matches the Rfam family "Bacterial large subunit ribosomal RNA", at positions 1748 to 2925 of the family's 2925-position model. Lineage: Bacteria; Pseudomonadati; Pseudomonadota; Gammaproteobacteria; Orbales; Orbaceae. The record is from RNAcentral. RNAcentral also lists the same sequence under 1 other name.
UAAUUGAAGUCCCAUGCGGAUGGAGGUGAAAUCAGUCGAAGAUACCAGCUGGCUGCAACUGUUUAAUAAAAACACAGCACUGUGCAAACACGAAAGUGGACGUAUACGGUGUGACGCCUGCCCGGUGCUGGAAGGUUAAUUGAUGGGGUUAUGCUUAUGCAGAAGCUCUUGAUCGAAGCCCCAGUAAACGGCGGCCGUAACUAUAACGGUCCUAAGGUAGCGAAAUUCCUUGUCGGGUAAGUUCCGACCUGCACGAAUGGCGUAAUGAUGGCCAGGCUGUCUCCACCCGAGACUCAGUGAAAUUGAAAUUGCCGUGAAGAUGCGGUGUACCCGUGGCAAGACGGAAAGACCCCGUGAACCUUUACUAUAGCUUGACAGUGAACAUUGAGCCUUAAUGUGUAGGAUAGGUGGGAGACAAAGAAGUGUGUACGCCAGUAUGCAUGGAGUCGCCCUUGAAAUACCACCCUUUAAUGUUUGAUGUUCUAACCUAUACUUCUGAAUCGAGGUAAGGGACACUGUCUGGUGGGUAGUUUGACUGGGGCGGUCUCCUCCCAAAGAGUAACGGAGGAGCACGAAGGUUAGCUAAUCCUGGUCGGACAUCAGGAGGUUAGUGCAAUGGCAAAAGCUAGCUUGACUGCGAGAGUGACGGCUCGAGCAGGUACGAAAGUAGGUCAUAGUGAUCCGGUGGUUCUGAAUGGAAGGGCCAUCGCUCAACGGAUAAAAGGUACUCCGGGGAUAACAGGCUGAUACCGCCCAAGAGUUCAUAUCGACGGCGGUGUUUGGCACCUCGAUGUCGGCUCAUCACAUCCUGGGGCUGAAGUAGGUCCCAAGGGUACGGCUGUUCGCCGUUUAAAGUGGUACGCGAGCUGGGUUUAGAACGUCGUGAGACAGUUCGGUCCCUAUCUGCCAUGGGCGUAGGAAAAUUGAGAGGGUUUGCUUCUAGUACGAGAGGACCGAAGUGAACGCACCGCUGGUGUUCGGGUUGUGAUGCCAAUUGCAUUGCCCGGUAGCUACGUGCGGAAUAGAUAAGUGCUGAAAGCAUCUAAGUACGAAACUAGCCUUGAGAUGAGUUUUCCCUGAAGAGAUUCAGUAAGGUCCGUUUGAGACUAAGACGUAGAUAGGUCAGGUGUGUAAGUGUAGUGAUACAUUGAGCUAACUGAUACUAAUGAACCGAGAGUCUUAACCUUACAACUC